UACAGAGGGGGCAAGCGUUGUUCGGAAUUACUGGGCGUAAAGGGCGCGUAGGCGGCCUUCUAAGUCGAACGUGAAAUCCCCGGGCUCAACCCGGGAACUGCGUCCGAUACUGGAAGGCUUGAAUCCGGGAGAGGGAUGUGGAAUUCCAGGUGUAGCGGUGAAAUGCGUAGAUAUCUGGAGGAACACCGGUGGCGAAGGCGGCAUCCUGGACCGGCAUUGACGCUGAGGCGCGAAGGCCAGGGGAGCAAACGGG
Molecule: ribosomal RNA, 253 nt
Filed under: uncultured bacterium
Lineage: Bacteria
Description: partial 16S ribosomal RNA
Rfam family: Bacterial small subunit ribosomal RNA
Source: RNAcentral